Schistocerca cancellata (South American locust) is the source of this 861-nucleotide long non-coding RNA. RefSeq lists it as uncharacterized. Lineage: Eukaryota; Metazoa; Arthropoda; Insecta; Orthoptera; Acrididae. The record is from RefSeq and is a predicted model, not a curated record. The transcript has 3 exons.
UGGUGAAACUUUCCAGUCGCUGGCGUAUGCUACCAGAAUAGCACCAAAUACUCUAUCACAGAUAAUUCCGGACACCCUUCAAGCAAUAUUAAACAAUUUGGAGGAUACUUGUAUAAAGGUUCCAGCCUCUACUAGCGAGUGGAAAACUAUUGCUCAUUCAUUUAAUACUACAAAGGAAACAACAGCAUUGUUCUUCUCGCAAUUGUUGAUGCACACUAUAAAUAUGUAUAUGUAAAUAUUGGUGCAAAUGGGAGGGUGAAUGAUGGGGCAAUUUUCAAUAACAGUAAAUUGGCUGAAGCCUUGAAUAAUAAAAAACUGAACUUGCCAGCACCAGAGAAGAUAGAGUGUUUCAGUGAUGUGGAACUGCCUUAUGUGUUUGUUGCCGACGAUGCAUUUGCAUUGAAAGAGUAUAUGAUGAAGGGGUAUCCCGAAAGAGACCUCUCAAAGGAAAAAAGGGUGUUCAAUUAUAGACUGAGCAGGGCUCGAAGAGUCGUUGAAAAUGCAUUUGGCAUGAUGUCAAAUAAAUUUGGGGUUCUGCUCACUCCUAUUCGACUUUCAGCAAAGAAGGUGGAUAUUGUUAUAAGAGUUUGUUGUGUGCUGCACAAUUUUAUUUUAGAACAGAAAUCCCAAUGCUAUAUUCCACCUGAAAUUGGCAACAGCACAUAUGCAUCUACUAUGGAAGGCAUUCAGCAGCAAAAUGGACGGAAUCCUACAGUAAAUGCAUUGAGGAUUAGGGACCAAUUCAGGAACUACUUCAACACUGUAGGUUCUGUGCCAUGGCAACAGGAGUGUGUUGAUGCAGGAAGGUGGUAGAUAAAUGUUAAAGCUCAAUAACAGCUCAUGGGUUGUAAUGAAAUACUU